AAUAUUGCACAAUGGAGGAAACUCUGAUGCAGCGACGCCGCGUGAACGAUGAAGGCCUUCGGGUCGUAAAGUUCUGUCCUAGGGGACGAUAAUGACGGUACCCGAGGAGGAAGCCCCGGCUAACUACGUGCCAGCAGCCGCGGUAAUACGUAGGGGGCAAGCGUUGUCCGGAUUAAUUGGGCGGAAAGGGUGCGUAGGCGGCCUUUUAAGUCAGGUGUGAAAGGUAACGGAUCAACCGUGGUAAGAAUUUGAGACUGAAAGGCUUGAGUUAAGGAGAGGAAAGUGGAAUUCCUAGUGUAGCGGUGAAAUGCGUAGAUAUUAGGAGGAAUACCAGUGGCGAAGGCGACUUUCUGGACUUAUACUGACGCUGAGGCACGAAAGCGUGGGGAGCGAACAGG
RNAcentral lists this ribosomal RNA (398 nucleotides) under uncultured bacterium. Its description in RNAcentral is "partial 16S ribosomal RNA". It matches the Rfam family "Bacterial small subunit ribosomal RNA", at positions 360 to 776 of the family's 1533-position model. The record is from RNAcentral.